AUAUGCACGGCCAGAUUGUUCCAAGAAGCUGGCGAUCUGGAGAAAGAUGUUGACCAUCUCAAACGCCAGGCCGUGGCGCAGCGGAGCCUCCUCCAACAUCUCACAAACAACCUGUACUCCUCAAUAAUACCCGAGAAUUCAACAAUUGAUCCAUCACCCAGCAGUAUCACCGACACCGCCGUCGAUCCAUUGGACGUUCUUCUAUCCGAGCACAGGAUGGACCAAGCCCUUGAGCUCCUUGAAGCGGAAGGACAAGCGCUGGAGAAACUGCACGGCGACGACGCACAGAUGAUCACGUCGAGCAUGUCCGCGCUGUCGGCCCGGAGAGCCAGAGUCGCCGAGCGCUUCACCGCUCUCGCCGACAACCGGCGGACGCCACGGCACGAGCUCCUCCAGGCGCUCUCCGGCCUCUGCAGCCUCGGUGACGGCCAACGGGCUAACCAGCUCCUCUUCAAGUUCUACAGCUCAGGAGGUGCCCUCCGGCGCGUCGAGGAGCUGAGGUCAUCAUCACACAGGAACUGCAUCGGGGAGCUGGCGCACAAGGUCUUCUCCUCCAUCCUCGAGGCGUCGAGGAGCUUCGUCGCGCUGCACGGGCCGACACCGUCCCCCGAGCUCAGCCGGUGGGCGAGGGGGGAAAUUGAUGACUUUGUCGCCACGUUCCGCGACUACUUCGGAUCCGUAUCAGAAGCCGAGGCCGGCGACGGGCUGGCACUGGCGACCGAAGCCGCCAACUGCGCCGUCUCCUACUCUUCCAUGCUCGGCACGGUCGUCUCGGUGGAAGAUGUCAAGGCAUUGAUUCGGCCUUGCAUGGAGGAGCUGCUGUCAACGUAUGCCAAGCAUCUGGAGAAGGUCGUCAGGUUGUUGGUUUGCUCUGACGCGUGGGUGCUGGGGAGGUUCCUCAGGUCAGGAGUCCUACGGCUACCUGCCGCUACCGGUGGUGGGGGCGAAACUGAACACUGCUUGCUCACGGCCAGUGGAAGGAAAUUUGUCACGUUGAUGCAGGAGGUUGUGGAGGACGUGUCCCCGUUGCUGCGCCUUGGGAUGAAGAGCUCAGUGCUGCAGCUCCUGGCCGGGUUGUUCAGAGACUACAUGCACUCCAUCCUAGCUGUCGAUGCAGUCGACCAGCAGCAGCAGUACAUGUGGCAGCUCUCCUUCCUCAUCAACUGCACCACGCUGGUCUCCUUGUUUCCGAUCAUCGCCCACGGUGUCUUCAUCAAGAGCAACAACCAAGCGUCGCUGUCGCAAACGGAACCAGAACUCCACGGUUUGACCGUGUUCAUCAAGGAAGCAUCCGGCCAAGUAUGGACACACUUCUGCCAGCAGUUCAUACGAGACACCACGUCGACUCUGCAUGACAAACCAGUCGACAAACCAACAUCGACAGCGACAAGCUUCCUGCCCAUGAUGCCUUGUUCUGCAUUCCAGAUGGUGUUCCUGCGGGUGAGACAGUUGAGUGAUCUGUAUGGCACCAUCUUGGCCGGCAAAGACGGGACCAUGAGAAAACUGCUGCAGGAGUUGAUGGAGACCAUGAUAAUCUGGCUCGGGAGCAACCUAGAUCCCUGGAUCCAUCACGCUCAGAAUCUACCAAAGGACACACUUCUUCAUCAGGUUAGUUGA
This 1617-nucleotide ribosomal RNA is filed under the name Triticum aestivum (bread wheat). RNAcentral's name for it is "partial small subunit ribosomal RNA". The record is from RNAcentral. Lineage: Eukaryota; Viridiplantae; Streptophyta; Magnoliopsida; Poales; Poaceae.